GAUGAACGCUGGCGGCGUGCCUAAUACAUGCAAGUCGAGCGAACGGACGAGAAGCUUGCUUCUCUGAUGUUAGCGGCGGACGGGUGAGUAACACGUGGAUAACCUACCUAUAAGACUGGGAUAACUUCGGGAAACCGGAGCUAAUACCGGAUAAUAUUUUGAACCGCAUGGUUCAAAAGUGAAAGCCGGUCUUGAUGUCACUUAUAGAUGGAUCCGCGCUGCAUUAGCUAGUUGGUAAGGUAACGGCUUACCAAGGCAACGAUGCAUAGCCGACCUGAGAGGGUGAUCGGCCACACUGGAACUGAGACACGGUCCAGACUCCUACGGGAGGCAGCAGUAGGGAAUCUUCCGCAAUGGGCGAAAGCCUGACGGAGCAACGCCGCGUGAGUGAUGAAGGUCUUCGGAUCGUAAAACUCUGUUAUUAGGGAAGAACAUAUGUGUAAGUAACUGUGCACAUCUUGACGGUACCUAAUCAGAAAGCCACGGCUAACUACGUG
Molecule: ribosomal RNA, 497 nt
Filed under: uncultured bacterium
Lineage: Bacteria
Description: partial 16S ribosomal RNA
Rfam family: Bacterial small subunit ribosomal RNA
Source: RNAcentral